AUGACAAUCGCGGUCCGACUGUCCUUUGACUACCCGUCGGUUCAGGGACGCGAAGGGGCUGGUGGGAGUUGUAGUUUUCCGUUCCUGCCCUCUAGUGGCCUCAAUGCCCAGCGUAUGCAAACAAGGAACGGAGAGAGCUUCCCGAAGAUGGCGGCGGCCCCUUAUUUUGGAUUGCAGGGCUUUCUUUCUGCCACUGUGAGCCGAGUGGCAAGCUUAUUUGUGCCUUUCAGAACUGCUACCAGACAGUUCCACAGUAGUUGCAGUCUGUGGGAAGAACUACCGAGAAAGCCACGUCAUGUUGAACCCAUAUAUGGACGUGUGGAACCUCUGCCCCUAAUAAGACGUAAUCCAACAAAGAUAGUUGCUAUUAUCUGGGUAAUCCUAACUCCAAUUGCCAUCGGUGCUUUCUUCCUUACAAAGGAGUAUAUAGAGAAGAAGCGUCUGAGAGUAAUGAAGCGCCAGCGGGAGAUGAAUUCAUCCAGUCAGAGAAACUAAAGACUCUAAGACAGCAUUGCUAGUGACAGAGGAACUUCCAGAAACAAAUACCUAAGCUUGGCAUCCAACAGUCCUAACUUUGUGCACUGCGACUGUGCAUUUACUGGCUUCAGCCUACAGCAGAUGUCCUAGUGAAUUCGUUCUACUUGGGGUGCAGUGCAGCGACGUACAGCAGUAUAUAGAUUUUUCAUGCUGCCUUUGUAAGAUGCUAAGCAGUAUGAUUGUCUACAACUAAUAAUUUUCACCUCUGAAUACAUAUUAAGGAAGAGAUACCGCUUUCUGGCCAACAACAGAUCCCCUGGACUAGAAAAAGCAAUGACUGUCUUCUUUACAAGACGUACAAAAGAUUAUGAGGAAUCAUAUUGUGUAUUUUCCAUAUCAUAUUUCAUUAUGAUAAAACUGAUAAUAGAUGGGACUGUAAUCUUACCAAAUUGGCAUUAAUAUGGCUCAUUUAAAUACUUGGGAAAUGGAAAUAUUAUGUAACACUUUAGAUUAUUAUAGUGAAAGACUGUGAUGUGCAUAUUUUCUUACUAUCCAUACAUAAAGUUUAUAACCUUCAGAAUGGACUGUGAAAUAAAGUAAAAGGAAUGGAUUUCCCCUUAAUGACU
This 1103-nucleotide long non-coding RNA is filed under the name Pogona vitticeps (central bearded dragon). Its description in RNAcentral is "lncRNA (ENSPVIG00000007374.1)". Lineage: Eukaryota; Metazoa; Chordata; Lepidosauria; Squamata; Agamidae. The record is from RNAcentral.